Non-coding RNA from Pelobates cultripes (western spadefoot toad), 238 nucleotides. The record is from the annotation of a GenBank genome assembly. Lineage: Eukaryota; Metazoa; Chordata; Amphibia; Anura; Pelobatidae.
GCUACAUAUGGAACUUGUAGAUUGUCACUGCUGUCCUCUGUUAAGUCUUUGGCACUGCAUUUGCAUAGAUACAGCUGUUGUUGCUUUGGCCUGUGACAAGCUGUUCCAUCACUUUCCAGGUGAGUUUUAACAUGUUGAGUGACAUCCAUGUCUCGGUACUUUUGGAAAAAAAUCUGUAAGAGAUCAAGAAGGCGUAUCAGUUCUUAGCAGAUAACUCUGUACCUGGGGAACAAGCCCC